GUGCCAGCAGCCGCGGUAAUACGAAGGGUGCAAGCGUUACUCGGAAUUACUGGGCGUAAAGCGUGCGUAGGUGGUUGUUUAAGUCUGUCGUGAAAGCCCUGGGCUCAACCUGGGAAUUGCGAUGGAAACUGGGCGACUAGAGUGUGGCAGAGGAUAGUGGAAUUCCUGGUGUAGCAGUGAAAUGCGUAGAGAUCAGGAGGAACAUCCGUGGCGAAGGCGACUGUCUGGGCCAACACUGACACUGAGGCACGAAAGCGUGGGGAGCAAACAGGAUUAGAUACCCUGGUAGUCC
This 292-nucleotide ribosomal RNA is filed under the name uncultured microorganism. RNAcentral describes it as "partial 16S ribosomal RNA". It matches the Rfam family "Bacterial small subunit ribosomal RNA", at positions 505 to 796 of the family's 1533-position model. The record is from RNAcentral.